This 1272-nucleotide ribosomal RNA is filed under the name Microbacterium sp. Its description in RNAcentral is "bacterial SSU rRNA". It matches the Rfam family "Bacterial small subunit ribosomal RNA", at positions 69 to 1352 of the family's 1533-position model. The record is from RNAcentral. Lineage: Bacteria; Bacillati; Actinomycetota; Actinomycetes; Micrococcales; Microbacteriaceae.
AUGAAGCCCAGCUUGCUGGGUGGAUUAGUGGCGAACGGGUGAGUAACACGUGAGCAACCUGCCCCUGACUCUGGGAUAAGCGCUGGAAACGGCGUCUAAUACUGGAUACGAACAAGAAUCGCAUGGUUACUUGUUGGAAAGAUUUUUCGGUUGGGGAUGGGCUCGCGGCCUAUCAGCUUGUUGGUGAGGUAAUGGCUCACCAAGGCGUCGACGGGUAGCCGGCCUGAGAGGGUGACCGGCCACACUGGGACUGAGACACGGCCCAGACUCCUACGGGAGGCAGCAGUGGGGAAUAUUGCACAAUGGGCGCAAGCCUGAUGCAGCAACGCCGCGUGAGGGAUGACGGCCUUCGGGUUGUAAACCUCUUUUAGCAGGGAAGAAGCGAGAGUGACGGUACCUGCAGAAAAAGCACCGGCUAACUACGUGCCAGCAGCCGCGGUAAUACGUAGGGUGCAAGCGUUAUCCGGAAUUAUUGGGCGUAAAGAGCUCGUAGGCGGUUUGUCGCGUCUGCUGUGAAAUCUGGGGGCUCAACCCCCAGCCUGCAGUGGGUACGGGCAGACUAGAGUGCGGUAGGGGAGAUUGGAAUUCCUGGUGUAGCGGUGGAAUGCGCAGAUAUCAGGAGGAACACCGAUGGCGAAGGCAGAUCUCUGGGCCGUAACUGACGCUGAGGAGCGAAAGGGUGGGGAGCAAACAGGCUUAGAUACCCUGGUAGUCCACCCCGUAAACGUUGGGAACUAGUUGUGGGGUCCAUUCCACGGAUUCCGUGACGCAGCUAACGCAUUAAGUUCCCCGCCUGGGGAGUACGGCCGCAAGGCUAAAACUCAAAGGAAUUGACGGGGACCCGCACAAGCGGCGGAGCAUGCGGAUUAAUUCGAUGCAACGCGAAGAACCUUACCAAGGCUUGACAUAUACGAGAACGGGCCAGAAAUGGUCAACUCUUUGGACACUCGUAAACAGGUGGUGCAUGGUUGUCGUCAGCUCGUGUCGUGAGAUGUUGGGUUAAGUCCCGCAACGAGCGCAACCCUCGUUCUAUGUUGCCAGCACGUAAUGGUGGGAACUCAUGGGAUACUGCCGGGGUCAACUCGGAGGAAGGUGGGGAUGACGUCAAAUCAUCAUGCCCCUUAUGUCUUGGGCUUCACGCAUGCUACAAUGGCCGGUACAAUGGGCUGCAAUACCGUGAGGUGGAGCGAAUCCCAAAAAGCCGGUCCCAGUUCGGAUUGAGGUCUGCAACUCGANCUCAUGAAGUCGGAGUCGCUAGUAAUCGCAGAUCAG